GGUUUGACGAGAGCUGUGCUGUCUCUUUUGAAAUAUUUAGAAAUUAACUUCUAGGUGAAGAGGCCUAGAUUUAUUUAAGGGACAAGAAGACCCUGUUGAGCUUUAGUGAUGUUGUAAAUAAGAAAAAGUAUUUAUUACUAAUUGUUAUGUAUUUAUUAUAGUAAAAAUUUACAAAUAAUCUUUAGUUGGGGCGACUGAGGAACAUGAAAAGCUUCCUUAAAAUAAAAUUAUUUAAAUAAUUAAAUAAAUGUCGAUGCUUACAUGUUAUUUUGAUCCAAAUUAUUUUGAUUAAAGGAAAAAGUUACCACAGGGAUAACAGCGUAAUCUUUCUGGAGAGAUCUUAUCGAAAGAAGGGUUUGCGACCUCGAUGUUGGACUAAGAUAUCCUAAGGGUGCAGAAGUUCUUAAAGGUUGGUCUGUUCGACCAUUAAAAUCUU
Molecule: ribosomal RNA, 436 nt
Filed under: Gibbula albida
Lineage: Eukaryota; Metazoa; Mollusca; Gastropoda; Trochida; Trochidae
Description: partial 16S ribosomal RNA
Rfam family: Bacterial large subunit ribosomal RNA
Source: RNAcentral